UCCACGCCCUAAACGAUGAACACUAGUCGUCGGGAUGCUAGUCAUCUCGGUGAUGCACUUAACAGAUUAAGUGUUCCGCCUGGGGAGUACGGUCGCAAGAUUAAAACUCAAAGGAAUAGACGGGGACCCGCACAAGAGGUGGAGCUAAUCACUUAAAGCGUCUCCUCAGUUCGGAUUGAAGUCUGCAACUCGACUUCAUGAAGCUGGAAUC
This 211-nucleotide ribosomal RNA is filed under the name uncultured bacterium. Its description in RNAcentral is "partial 16S ribosomal RNA". It matches the Rfam family "Bacterial small subunit ribosomal RNA", at positions 794 to 1333 of the family's 1533-position model. The record is from RNAcentral.